UAAUGAAUGCGCUAAUGAGAUGCAGGAAUCCAUCACCUAAACCACGGUUUUCUUUACAGCGUUUAUAUCGAUUCCUAUCAAAUUUACUGUCCAAUAAGAAGGUUUUAGUGCUGGGGGUAACCGUGUGGUAUCUUUGCAACUACAAGACCCACCAACCUCAAACAGGCGGCAGAGUCAGACCGUUGCUUUAGAGAUCCGCUGGAUGUAAACUGAAGCGGGUUAAGCACGUGUGGAGAAGUAGACUUGUGCGUUCAGAUUUAUACUGAUUUUAAAUAUAAUUUGGUUAAGUUGUA
This is a long non-coding RNA of Spea bombifrons (plains spadefoot toad), 293 nucleotides long. RefSeq lists it as uncharacterized. The record is from RefSeq and is a predicted model, not a curated record. Lineage: Eukaryota; Metazoa; Chordata; Amphibia; Anura; Pelobatidae. The transcript has 2 exons.